CAGCACCUCAAGUGGUCAGGAUGAUUAUUGGGCCUAAAGCAUCCGUAGCCGGCGCUGUAAGUUUUCGGUUAAAUCUGUACGCUCAACGUACAGGCUGCCGGGAAUACUGCAGCGCUAGGGAGUGGGAGAGGUAGACGGUACUCGGUAGGAAGGGGUAAAAUCCUUUGAUCUAUUGAUGACCACCUGUGGCGAAGGCGGUCUAUCAGAACACGUCCGACGGUGAGGGAUGAAAGCUGGGGGAGCAAACCGGAUUAGAUACCCGCGUAGUCC
Molecule: ribosomal RNA, 270 nt
Filed under: uncultured archaeon
Lineage: Archaea
Description: partial 16S ribosomal RNA
Rfam family: Archaeal small subunit ribosomal RNA
Source: RNAcentral